AAAGUUCCAUACAUUGAAAUAUGAAAUUUGGGAGAGUCGAUGUGGUUAUUUGAACCUAUAAGGCACAAGGUUCCAAACCGUCAUUUUGAAAAGACGUUAAAAAAAAAAAAGACAUAAAAACCACAGGUGCAAGUUUAAGAACGUGCGCAAUUAUUAUAACAGGAAAGGAGCAUAUAACAGAUAGAUUUUUCCCACCUGCAAUGAAAGUGCAGGCCCUGUAAAAUCUAUAAAAUUACAUUAUGUUCUGGAAGCCUCUGAAGGAAGAGGACGGCG
Molecule: long non-coding RNA, 273 nt
Filed under: Prunus persica (peach)
Lineage: Eukaryota; Viridiplantae; Streptophyta; Magnoliopsida; Rosales; Rosaceae
Description: long non-coding RNA (PPER_LNC007281)
Source: RNAcentral